UUGAACGCUGGCGGCAUGCCUUACACAUGCAAGUCGAACGGUAACAGGGAGCUUGCUCCGCUGACGAGUGGCGAACGGGUGAGUAAUGUAUCGGAACGUACCAUUGAGUGGGGGAUAACGUAGCGAAAGUUACGCUAAUACCGCAUAUUCUCUCCGGAGGAAAGCAGGGGACCGCAAGGCCUUGCGCUCUUUGAGCGGCCGAUAUCAGAUUAGCUAGUUGGUGGGGUAAAAGCUCACCAAGGCGACGAUCUGUAGCGGGGCUGAGAGGAUGAUCCGCCACACUGGAACUGAGACACGGUCCAGACGCCUACGGGAGGCAGCAGUGGGGAAUUUUGGACAAUGGGCGAAAGCCUGAUCCAGCCAUGCCGCGUGCGGGAAGAAGGCCUUCGGGUUGUAAACCGCUUUUGUCAGGGAAGAAAUCCUUUGAGCUAAUACCUCAGAGGGAUGACGGUACCUGAAGAAUAAGCACCGGCUAACUACGU
Molecule: ribosomal RNA, 482 nt
Filed under: uncultured bacterium
Lineage: Bacteria
Description: bacterial SSU rRNA
Rfam family: Bacterial small subunit ribosomal RNA
Source: RNAcentral